This 464-nucleotide ribosomal RNA is filed under the name uncultured bacterium. RNAcentral describes it as "partial 16S ribosomal RNA". It matches the Rfam family "Bacterial small subunit ribosomal RNA", at positions 28 to 507 of the family's 1533-position model. The record is from RNAcentral.
GACGAACGCUGGCGGCGUGCUUAACACAUGCAAGUCGAACGGAAAGGCCCUGCUUGCAGGGUCCUCGAGUGGCGAACGGGUGAGUAACACGUUGGUGAUCUGCACUGCACUUCGGGAUAAGCCCGGGAACCGGGGUCUAAUACCGGACAGGAGACAUAUUGCGUGUGAUGGUUGGAGCGUUUUUUCGGUUUGGGAUGAGCUCGCGACCUGUCAGCUUGUUGGUGUGGUAGCGGCUUACCAAGGCGGCGACGGGUAGCUGGCCUGAGGGGGUGGACGGCCAAGUCAGGAUUGAGAUGCGGCCCAGACUCCUACGGGAGGCAGCAGUGGGGAAUAGUGUACAAUGGGCGGAAGGCUGAUGCAGCGACGCCGCGUGGGGGAUGACGGCCUGCGGGUUGUAUUCUACUUUCGCUUGGGACGAAGCGUUUGUGACGGUACCUGGAUAAGAAGCUCCGGCUAACUCCGUG